GAAAUGCGAUAAGUAGUGUAAAUUGCAGAAUUUAGUAAAUCAUCGAAUCUUUAAACGCACAUUGCGCCCCUUAGUAUUCUAUAGGGCAUGCCUGUUCAAGCGUUAUUUGUACCCUUAAGCUCUGCUUGGUGUUAGGCGUUUGUCAAACGACUUGCCUUAAAACAAUUGGCAGCUAGCAUACUAGCCUAAAGCGCAGCACAUUUUGCGCCUCUUGUUAUUGCGUUAGCAUCUAUCAAGAUCUUUUGCUCUUAACCUCGGAUUAGGUAGGGAUACCCGCUGAACUUAA
RNAcentral lists this unclassified non-coding RNA (286 nucleotides) under uncultured Didymella. RNAcentral's name for it is "sequence contains ITS1". The stretch from base 1 to 105 matches the Rfam family "5.8S ribosomal RNA", at positions 50 to 154 of the family's 154-position model. Lineage: Eukaryota; Fungi; Ascomycota; Dothideomycetes; Pleosporales; Didymellaceae. The record is from RNAcentral.